This 786-nucleotide long non-coding RNA is filed under the name Brassica rapa (field mustard). RNAcentral describes it as "long non-coding RNA (BRAP_LNC006642)". The record is from RNAcentral. Lineage: Eukaryota; Viridiplantae; Streptophyta; Magnoliopsida; Brassicales; Brassicaceae.
UUCCACCAAGAAUCAAGUCUCCCUGCUCAAAAUUGUCCUUCAAACUGUUAAUUGUACGUUCUGAAAAGAACCUUUUUUCGUCAAUCAAACAUGGUGAAAGGUUUCAAAUCUGUGGUUUCACCUACAUCCAAUAAUAGGUUUAGACGGAACAGAUAAGAUUGGUAAGGUUGUGGUCGGCUCUAGUUCUUGCACUGGUAACGUCUCCUCUUUGCUUUUUUUUUGUGUUGAGUUCCGUUCUUAGGCUUGAUUUUCAUGGUUUAGAAUGGUUUGAUAUCCGCUUGUGUGGUAAGAGGAUUGCAUUAAUAAUCGGUUUGUAUUUGCGUUUGGAGAAGAUAGUAGAACUAGCGAACUAUGUUGGUGUUUGGCUUAGCCGACAUUGGAAUAGGAUAUUUGUAAAAUGAAUUGUGAAGCUCUCUAUUUUGGUGCCAGAUCUAGGUGUGUUAUUAAAACUUCGAUUCAUAGACGUUGGAAAAUGGAAAGUGGAGCGUUUUAUUGUUACUGUCUGACAACAAAUGCUACACAGUUGAAGUGUUGAAAAAAAAAAUCCAUUGAUUUUGUUUCCAUGUUUUUGUUUUAUUUUCUUGACUGUAGGACCGACCAAUUUAUAUAAGUUAAACAAUUUGGAAUCACAACAAUGUAAUACCUAAGCUAUUCAUUUUAUCUAAUAUUUAGUUGACAAAAAAAUAUAUAAUAUUUAUAUUAUUUAUUAUUAACCAGAAAGGCAUGAUUAUACUUUUUAAAAGAACUUUGAAAUUUAAUUAGUUGAAUGGAAACUCGACUGAUAGU